GCAGCUGCGACGCCGCCGUUUCACUCUUCUCCGUUUCAGGCUUGAAAUUCACGGACAUCUGAAGAAGUAUCAAAAAACAGCUAAAACAUGUCUCGGAAAGGAUUGAUGGAGCAAGACCUGAGUAAGUUGGAUGUAACAAAGUUGCAUCCACUUUCACCAGAGGUUAUUUCUCGUCAGGCUACGAUAAAUAUUGGGACCAUUGGGCAUGUGGCUCAUGGAAAGUCAACAGUUGUAAAAGCU
RNAcentral lists this unclassified non-coding RNA (240 nucleotides) under Hevea brasiliensis (rubber tree). Lineage: Eukaryota; Viridiplantae; Streptophyta; Magnoliopsida; Malpighiales; Euphorbiaceae. The record is from RNAcentral.